This 601-nucleotide ribosomal RNA is filed under the name uncultured bacterium. Its description in RNAcentral is "bacterial SSU rRNA". It matches the Rfam family "Bacterial small subunit ribosomal RNA", at positions 730 to 1335 of the family's 1533-position model. The record is from RNAcentral.
GAGGCUAUAACUGACGCUAAAGCUCGAAGGUGCGGGUAUCGAACAGGAUUAGAUACCCUGGUAGUCCGCACGGUAAACGAUGGAUGCCCGCUGUUGGCGAUAUAUUGUCAGCGGCCAAGCGAAAGCGUUAAGCAUCCCACCUGGGGAGUACGCCGGCAACGGUGAAACUCAAAGGAAUUGACGGGGGCCCGCACAAGCGGAGGAACAUGUGGUUUAAUUCGAUGAUACGCGAGGAACCUUACCCGGGCUUGAACUGCAGGAGAACGAUUCAGAGAUGAUGAUGUCCUUCGGGACUCCUGUGGAGGUGCUGCAUGGUUGUCGUCAGCUCGUGCCGUGAGGUGUCGGCUUAAGUGCCAUAACGAGCGCAACCCUUUUCAUUAGUUGCCAUCAGGUAAUGCUGGGCACUCUGGUGAUACUGCCACCGUAAGGUGUGAGGAAGGUGGGGAUGACGUCAAAUCAGCACGGCCCUUACGUCCGGGGCUACACACGUGUUACAAUGGGUGGUACAGAGAGUUGGUCGCUGGCAAUAGCGAUCUAAUCCUAAAAGCCAUCCUCAGUUCGGAUUGGGGUCUGCAACCCGACCCCAUGAAGCUGGAUUCGC